AAAAAAAAAAAAAAAGAACGCAACACAUGUAUCUACGCACACUCCUAGAGAAAGAGAAAGAUGAUGGAACACAUUAAAAAAUUUAAAUUUCCCACAAAGACCAAGGAUAUGAAAAAUUUUUAAACAACAUAUGAUAUAUAACAAUGCAAAAAGCAUCAAAACAACCAUUCAAGCUAGCUAGCAAUGCCCUUGAAGAAGUAUAGUCUUGACAUAAAGGAGCCACAAUAACCCGAUCAUGAUGAAUUUGGAUCAAUCAAGCUCAAGUUCAAGCACCUGUUAGAUCCGAGCUCCAAGGAUGAUUUGGCCAGCAAUCUAUUACGAAAAUGAUUUACUUUCUGAGAUCAACUAGAUAUCUAUUAAUAAAGAGAUCAGCAUCUUUUGAAAUUGAAACGGCCGAAGAUCAUGCCUAAAAUUAAACAUAAUAAUUGAAGUACGUUCCAUUAUAACCUACAUAACGAAAUGGCAAAGAUCCAACCGAGAUUAUAAGUAAUUACCAUCUCAAUCUUUAUAUAAACAAAUUUGAGACUGAGGACAACAUACAUUCUAAAAACUAAAUAGGGCAAAUAUAAUUUCAACAUUUCAAUAUAAUUUAUUACUGAUUGAAACAUUUGAGUGACUAUUAAACAACCACUAGACCUCAUCUUUCUUCUUGUUUUCACGUCACCUGAGAGUCAAUUAUUAGACACCAAUUGAGAACCCAGGAAGCCACUGGCAACAACACUUACAUAGCCAAAUAUUACUAUGAUGAUGCCCAAAAACACACAGCCUUGGGAUAUUUGAGACAAACAAGAAGUAUCAGUGCCUUUCCUUUUGCUUACGAGAAGUAUGCGUCUUUCCUUUGCUUACUCCAAACACGAACAUCUGCAAGGCUUUGCUCAUGAACAGUUAUAGGAGAGGGAUAAAGGAAGUCGAUAAUAACAAAGUAGCAAACAUCAGAGAAGCAAAUACUUGCAGCAGCAUCGUUCACAGCCUUACGAAAACAUCAAUUUGUUGUGCGAACCAAGAGGCGAGAAAGGAGUAACACAAAACCCAUACCGGGGACAAUGCGCAACUUUGAAAUAGCAUAGAGAUAUAUAGACAGUUCAUCAUCAUCACUAAUUGAGAAUAAUGCACACAGGAUACAUACAAAGAAGGGGGAAGCGACAGUAGUGAUCAGAAAAAUCACCGUUUCACAUGAAGUCAAAGGACAAAAAAACCCAAGCCAGCUUCUAUUUUCUUGCUACCUUCUCUCACUGACCAAACAUUAAAAACCACAACAACAAUAGCAAAGAGGUCAUCUCCAGAAAACCAAGCUACAGCAAAAACUUCUUAUGGUAGAAAUUGCCAUUUAGAAUUUAGGCAGAGAUAUAAUAUACAUUACUCGUCAGAUAGAGAGUGAGGGAGAUGAAGCAAGCCAAAAAUUAUAAACAAGCAUCUCUUUCCUGGCCUCCCGAAGUAUUCAAGAUAUGAUACCAACCAUAAAAAAUGCCACCAUACUACUUCCAACUCAUUCAGCAACUACAAUAUAGCAAGUUAUGUAAACUUGGAAGAGGACCCAAGAAUAAAAACAAAACUUCUAAAAAGGCAAAAGACGAGACUGAAGCAACUGAAGCAACCAAACUAUAACACGCCAUCAUUUCACACAUGCAGGAUUCUCAUUGAAGCUGCAGGUUCCUCACAAGUAAAUAAAUAGGCACUAUAUUCAUCCUUUUCUCCGUGGCAUGAACUUGCGGUGUCUUCAUGUCUAAGGGCAACUGUAAACACAAGAUCCAU
This 1752-nucleotide unclassified non-coding RNA is filed under the name Hevea brasiliensis (rubber tree). The record is from RNAcentral. Lineage: Eukaryota; Viridiplantae; Streptophyta; Magnoliopsida; Malpighiales; Euphorbiaceae.